RNAcentral lists this unclassified non-coding RNA (227 nucleotides) under soil metagenome. RNAcentral describes it as "partial contains small subunit ribosomal RNA, internal transcribed spacer 1, and 5.8S ribosomal RNA". The record is from RNAcentral.
UCUCCGUUGGUGAACCAGCGGAGGGAUCAUUACAGAGUUGCAAAACUCCCAAACCAUUGUGAACCUUACCUUUACCGUUGCUUCGGCGGGCGGGCCGUCUCGGCCCCGCCCCGGCCCCCCUCGCGGGGGCGCCCGCCGGAGGUACCUAACUCUAUGUCAAUCAUGGCCUCUCUGAGUCUUCUGUACUGAAUAAGUCAAAACUUUCAACAACGGAUCUCUUGGUUCUG